This 468-nucleotide ribosomal RNA is filed under the name uncultured bacterium. RNAcentral's name for it is "partial 16S ribosomal RNA". It matches the Rfam family "Bacterial small subunit ribosomal RNA", at positions 28 to 507 of the family's 1533-position model. The record is from RNAcentral.
GACGAACGCUGGCGGCGUGCUUAACACAUGCAAGUCGAACGGAAAGGCCCUGCUUUUGUGGGGUGCUCGAGUGGCGAACGGGUGAGUAACACGUGAGUAACCUGCCCUUGACUUUGGGAUAACUUCAGGAAACUGGGGCUAAUACCGGAUAGGAGCUCCUGCUGCAUGGUGGGGGUUGGAAAGUUUCGGCGGUUGGGGCUGGACGCGCGGCUUAUCAGCUUGUUGGUGGGGUAGUGGCUUACCAAGGCUUGGACGGGUAGCCGGCCUGAGAGGGUUACCGGCCACAUUGGGACUGAGAUACGGCCCAGACGCCUACGGGAGGCAGCAGUGGGGAAUAGUGCGCAAUGGGCGGGAGCCUGAUGCAGCAACGCCGCGUGCGGGAUGACGGCCUUCGGGUUGUGAACCGCUUUCGCCUGUGACGAAGCGUGAGUGACGGUAAUGGGUAAAGAAGCACCGGCUAACUACGUG